CCCCGCGCCCGCCGACGGCCCCCCUGAACGCUGUCUGAAGUUGCAGUCUGAGACCUAUAACGAAAUUAGUUAAAACUUUCAACAACGGAUCUCUUGGUUCCGGCAUCGAUGAAGAACGCAGCGAAAUGCGAUAACUAAUGUGAAUUGCAGAAUUCAGUGAAUCAUCGAGUCUUUGAACGCACAUUGCGCCCUCUGGUAUUCCGGAGGGCAUGCCUGUCCGAGCGUCAUUGCUGCCCUCAAGCCCGGCUUGUGUGUUGGGCCCCGUCCCCCCCGCCGGGGGGACGGGCCCGAAAGGCAGCGGCGGCACCGCGUCCGGUCCUCGAGCGUAUGGGGCUUCGUCACCCGCUCUAGUAGGCCCGGCCGGCGCCAGCCGACCCCCAACCUUUAAUUAUCUCAGGUUGACCCUCGGAUCAGGUAGGGAUACCCGCUGAACUUAAGCAUAU
RNAcentral lists this ribosomal RNA (443 nucleotides) under Penicillium citrinum. RNAcentral describes it as "eukaryotic LSU rRNA". The stretch from base 74 to 227 matches the Rfam family "5.8S ribosomal RNA". The record is from RNAcentral. Lineage: Eukaryota; Fungi; Ascomycota; Eurotiomycetes; Eurotiales; Aspergillaceae.